This 684-nucleotide ribosomal RNA is filed under the name Desulfobulbaceae bacterium PR2_D11. Its description in RNAcentral is "bacterial SSU rRNA". It matches the Rfam family "Bacterial small subunit ribosomal RNA", at positions 94 to 768 of the family's 1533-position model. Lineage: Bacteria; Pseudomonadati; Thermodesulfobacteriota; Desulfobulbia; Desulfobulbales; Desulfobulbaceae. The record is from RNAcentral.
AGUGGCGCACGGGUGAGUAACGCGUAAGUAAUCUACCCUGAUAUCUGGGAUAACCCACCGAAAGGUGUGCUAAUACCGGAUACGCUGAUUUAUCAGGAAAGGUGGCCUCUUCUUGAAAGCUACUGUAUUAGGAGGAGCUUGCGUACCAUUAGCUAGUUGGUGGGGUAAUGGCCUACCAAGGCGACGAUGGUUAGCGGGUCUGAGAGGAUGAUCCGCCACACUGGAACUGAAACACGGACCAGACUCCUACGGGAGGCAGCAGUGAGGAAUAUUGCGCAAUGGGGGAAACCCUGACGCAGCGACGCCGCGUGGAUGAUGAAGGCCUUCGGGUCGUAAAAUCCUGUCAGAUGGGAAGAAAUGCUACAUGGUUAAUAUCUGUGUAGUUUGACGGUACCAUCAAAGGAAGCACCGGCUAACUCCGUGCCAGCAGCCGCGGUAAUACGGAGGGUGCAAGCGUUGUUCGGAAUUACUGGGCGUAAAGCGCGCGUAGGCGGCUUUUUAAGUCAGAUGUGAAAGUCCAUGGCUCAACCAUGGAAGUGCAUUUGAUACUGGGGAGCUUGAGUACUGGAGGGGAUGGUGGAAUUCCCGGUGUAGAGGUGAAAUUCGUAGAUAUCGGGAGGAAUACCGGUGGCGAAGGCGACCAUCUGGCCAGAUACUGACGCUGAGGUGCGAAAGCGUGGGGAG